RNAcentral lists this transfer RNA (71 nucleotides) under Blumeria graminis f. sp. tritici 96224. Its description in RNAcentral is "tRNA-Gly (GCC) (tRNA-Gly-GCC-4-1)". It matches the Rfam family "tRNA". Rfam says of the family: Transfer RNA (tRNA) molecules are approximately 80 nucleotides in length. Their secondary structure includes four short double-helical elements and three loops (D, anti-codon, and T loops). Lineage: Eukaryota; Fungi; Ascomycota; Leotiomycetes; Helotiales; Erysiphaceae. RNAcentral also lists the same sequence under 2 other names. The record is from RNAcentral.
GCUUCAGUGGUUUAGUGGUAAAAUCCAUCGUUGCCAUCGAUGGGCCCCGUGUUCGAUUCACGGCUGAUGCA